GGAUGUGAAAGCAAUCUGACAGUGACAUCUGCCAUUCCAUUGUAUGCCAGGUUUGAUUCAAGGGAUUUGGCUCCUGGAAGGUGUCCAAUGAUUCCUUCACUGUUCUAUGCUGUCAUUCUGCCAUAGGCAUUGGCUGCAUCUUUGGGAUUUCACCUAAGUCAAAGAGGGUGAUACUCAGAUGAAGGAGAACCACACCAUAAUCCAGGCAAUAAGAUUUAGUUGAAAAUGCCUGCUAGAACUUAAAGCAAGUAUGCAGAGAUCACUUCUACUUUUUCUUCUGGUAAAAUAAUAAAUGCACUCCUAAGUGUAAGGAAAUUGUUCUGU
Molecule: small nuclear RNA, 324 nt
Filed under: Dasypus novemcinctus (nine-banded armadillo)
Lineage: Eukaryota; Metazoa; Chordata; Mammalia; Cingulata; Dasypodidae
Description: 7SK RNA (ENSDNOG00000029495.2)
Rfam family: 7SK RNA
About the family: 7SK was discovered as an abundant small nuclear RNA in the mid-70s but a possible function has only recently been suggested. Two independent studies have found that 7SK RNA binds the CDK9/cyclin T complex (known as elongation factor P-TEFb).
Source: RNAcentral